UGGGGAAUAUUGGACAAUGGGGGCAACCCUGAUCCAGCCAUGCCGCGUGAGUGAUGAAGGCCUUCGGGUUGUAAAGCUCUUUUGCGGGGACGAUGAUGACGGUACCGCAGAAUAAGCCCCGGCUAACUUCGUGCCAGCAGCCGCGGUAAGACGAAGGGGGCUAGCGUUGUUCGGAAUUACUGGGCGUAAAGCGAGUGUAGGCGGUUGCCGUAGUCAGGUGUGAAAGCCUUGAGCUCAACUCAAGAAAUGCACUUGAUACUGGGUGACUAGAGGACCGGAGAGGAUAGUGGAACUCCCAGUGUAGUGGUGAAAUACGUAGAGAUUGGGAAGAACACCAGUGGCGAAGGCGGCUAUCUGGACGGUUACUGACGCUAAGACUCGAAAGCGUGGGGAGCAAACAGGAUUAGAUACCCUGGUAGUCCACGCCGUAAACGAUGGGUGCUAGACGUUGGCGAGCUUGU
RNAcentral lists this ribosomal RNA (461 nucleotides) under uncultured bacterium. RNAcentral describes it as "partial 16S ribosomal RNA". It matches the Rfam family "Bacterial small subunit ribosomal RNA", at positions 355 to 835 of the family's 1533-position model. The record is from RNAcentral.